GGUGAAAGGGUGAGGUAAGAGCUCACCGCGUCCGGGGCCAACGCCGGGCGGCACGGUAAACCCCAUCCGGAGCAAGACCAAAUAGGGAAGCAUUGGCGUGGCUCGCGUCGCUUCCGGGUAGGUUGCUUGAGUGUGUCGGUAACGGUGCGCCUAGAGGAAUGAUUGUCACGCCACCUGCAAGGGUGGCGCACAGAACCCGGCUUACCGGGCGACUUCCCGC
Molecule: RNase P RNA, 220 nt
Filed under: Rhodocyclaceae bacterium
Lineage: Bacteria; Pseudomonadati; Pseudomonadota; Betaproteobacteria; Rhodocyclales; Rhodocyclaceae
Description: partial RNase P RNA component class A
Rfam family: Bacterial RNase P class A
About the family: Ribonuclease P (RNase P) is a ubiquitous endoribonuclease, found in archaea, bacteria and eukarya as well as chloroplasts and mitochondria. Its best characterised activity is the generation of mature 5'-ends of tRNAs by cleaving the 5'-leader elements of precursor-tRNAs.
Source: RNAcentral